GAAGGACUGCACAUGCUGGUGAACUUGACCAGAAUGCAUGCACAUUCAGGCGCUUCUCCUUUAGGGGUGAAAGUGGACCAGAGAUGUGUAAUAUGCAUGUUCUCCAGUUUCCAUGUUGCUGGUAAGCUCAAGGAGAUGAUUUUUGCAAAGCUGUGAUUUAGUAAAGAAGUAAAAACCCUUGACGCUUAUUUAACCAUUAAGGCAACUUCAUUAGAUCAACUUCACCAUUCCUCAACACAACACUGAGGUGGACAAGUCUCUAGAACUGCUGGCAUGGACAUUGGUGAAGUCACCAGGCCAACAGUGGAAGCCAAUACAUUUGUGUCCUUGGUUGACCAUCACGAAAUGGAGCAAGAACUGAGACAUGACUUGACCUGUAGCUCUUUCGACAUAUUGUUCUCAGUUACAUUUAAUAAAAGAACACCUCAUUGAUUAUGCCAUCUACUUCAGUGCACUGGGGGAUGUUGACUGAUACAGAUUGGACCUCGCUUCAACACCCCUCCACCAAUCUGAUUUGAUGCGACUGCUGGUUCUGCAUUACUUGUGUGGGCAAUCCAUCCACAAAGGAUGAUCACAAUUGUUUGACUUAUUUCAAUUGCUGUAAUGCAGAAGUGUCCAAGCUCUAUCCUGGAGGGUCGGUGUCCUGCAGAAUUUAGCUCUAACCCUAUUCAAACACCUGAACCAGCUAAUUGGUAUCUUACUAGAUAUUUCCUAGCAGGUGUUGGAGCUAAACUCAGCAGGACUCCUGUACUGAGGACACCUAUGCUGUAAUGAGUCUCAACUCCAUUCCUGGAGGGCUGCUAUGUUGCACAGUUUUGCUCCAACGCUGAUCUCAUUACACCUUGAUGUGUUUGAUUUAAAGUUGGAGCAAAACUGUGCAGUGCUGCAGCCCUCCAGGAAUGGAGUUUGAGAUUUGUGCUGUAAUAAAGCAUCUUGUAUGGGUUUUUUUUUCUCAACUGUUUUCAAACUAAAUAUCCAAUCUUAAAUUUCACAUGUUAAAGUUAAACAAAAUCAAUACUGAACAUUAUAAAACAAUUUUUUUUUUUUUAAAAUACAAUUGACUAAAGGUGAUUAAAUUACAUUUAAAUUACAUUACACUUCUAAUUACAACAGUAAAGAAAUAAAUUUUAACUCUGCAUUUAAAAAUACUUUUAACAAAUCUAUUUAGAACUUAGUAUUUAUAACUUUUCUUUUAAACUUUUAAACUGAAAAUAACUUUUCCCCUCUCUAAUAAACCAGAAAUUUCUACAAGCGAUAUGAAUCAAUAUGUCUGCUAUUAAACUGCA
Molecule: long non-coding RNA, 1286 nt
Filed under: Danio rerio (zebrafish)
Lineage: Eukaryota; Metazoa; Chordata; Actinopteri; Cypriniformes; Danionidae
Description: si:dkey-192l18.10 (ENSDARG00000096447.2)
Source: RNAcentral